UUUCCCGGGGGGCCUGAAACUUAGAUAGGGACGGGGAAUGAUCUAGCUUGCUAUUUUGAUGGCGAGUGGCGAACGGGUGAGUAAUACAUCGGAACGUGCCCUGUAGUGGGGGAUAACUAGUCGAAAGAUUAGCUAAUACCGCAUACGACCUGAGGGUGAAAGUGGGGGACCGCAAGGCCUCAUGCUAUAGGAGCGGCCGAUGUCUGAUUAGCUAGUUGGUGAGGUAAAGGCUCACCAAGGCGACGAUCAGUAGCUGGUCUGAGAGGACGAUCAGCCACACUGGGACUGAGACACGGCCCAGACUCCUACGGGAGGCAGCAGUGGGGAAUUUUGGACAAUGGGCGAAAGCCUGAUCCAGCAAUGCCGCGUGUGUGAAGAAGGCCUUCGGGUUGUAAAGCACUUUUGUCCGGAAAGAAAUGGCUCUGGUUAAUACCUGGGGUCGAUGACGGUACCGGAAGAAUAAGGACCGGCUAACUACGUGCCAGCAGCCGCGGUAAUACGUAGGGUCCAAGCGUUAAUCGGGAAUUACUGGGCGUAAAGCGUGCGCAGGCGGUUGUGCAAGACCGAUGUGAAAUCCCCGAGCUUAACUUGGGAUUGCAUUGGUGACUGCACGCUAAAGUGUGUCAAAGGGGGGUAGAAUUCCACGUGAACAAAAAAUGCUAAAAAUG
RNAcentral lists this ribosomal RNA (668 nucleotides) under Ralstonia sp. HPC1306. Its description in RNAcentral is "bacterial SSU rRNA". It matches the Rfam family "Bacterial small subunit ribosomal RNA", at positions 1 to 698 of the family's 1533-position model. The record is from RNAcentral. Lineage: Bacteria; Pseudomonadati; Pseudomonadota; Betaproteobacteria; Burkholderiales; Burkholderiaceae.